UUAAUUGAAGCAUUCAAAUUAUGCAUUUAACUGUUAAUUAAAUUAAUCGCAUUUUGGCGACUAUUAAA
This 68-nucleotide transfer RNA is filed under the name Biomphalaria glabrata. RNAcentral describes it as "tRNA-Asn". Lineage: Eukaryota; Metazoa; Mollusca; Gastropoda; Planorbidae. The record is from RNAcentral.